GGGUAUGCAACAGUAAACUACCAGAUUAGGGUGAAGGUUAGAAAUUAUGAGGAUCAUGGGGGUCAUCCACCGUCCUAUUUAUGGUGGACACGUGGAGAGAAGAUCGGUGUAGGACCCAUUAAAUGGUGACGACGACGAUGAUGAUUUCGGUGGGAAUAACUCCACACCGUCAGAUUGGUUGACAAAAGUUGGAUUGUUGUUUUGCGUUUUGGGAAGUGAUGCAUGUGAGUUCUGCUGUAUAGUAGAGAAGUUUGGGAUUCUUUUUUCUAUUUUGUCUUUUUUCAACGGUAGCGAGAGAGAGAGAGAGAGAGAGAGAGAUAAUUAUUGGGUGUAUGCGGUGCAGAUGAUGAAUUAAGUGGCCUACGGUGUGAGUAUAAUUUAUGUAUGGAUAACGCCAAGAGGCCCAUAAGGUCGUAGCCUCUUUUGGAGAUAGACCAUUAUCCGUAGCAGAAUAAAUUCAAG
Molecule: long non-coding RNA, 462 nt
Filed under: Carica papaya (papaya)
Lineage: Eukaryota; Viridiplantae; Streptophyta; Magnoliopsida; Brassicales; Caricaceae
Description: long non-coding RNA (CPAP_LNC012747)
Source: RNAcentral